This is a long non-coding RNA of Drosophila montana, 1139 nucleotides long. RefSeq lists it as uncharacterized. The transcript has 2 exons. NCBI's taxonomy places the organism in Eukaryota, Metazoa, Arthropoda, Insecta, Diptera, Drosophilidae. The record is from RefSeq and is a predicted model, not a curated record.
ACGGGGCGACACUAACUGUAGCCGUAGCAGCGGCGGCAGCAGCAGCAACAAUCGAGUGUUAGCCAUGGCCACAUUUAAAUAAAUGGCCCACAUUUGUAUUGCUGACUAUUAGCUGAUGGCUCAGUGGUUUGCUCAAUUGUUGGCUGACAUAGAAAGGCAAGUGCCAAACCGGAAUGGCAUCGAUUACGAUAACAAUCAGAAGCAAUGCGGCAAGCGGAAACAAUUAGCAAACGGGCGUCGGUGACGACGACGACGACGGCGAAUUGGCAGCUUGCGAAUGUGGCGAGCAAAACAAAAGCGAAAAACCAAAAGACAGCCAGCUCACACACAGCUUGGGCAAUCAGAAUGGCAAUGCGAACGGGCAUGGAAAUGAAAAUGGCAGUGACAAGCAAAACAUCCGCCGGCGCAUAGCCAAAGCCAAAGUUAAAAGGUGUGUGUGUGUGUGUAAGGGUAAGGCAACGGAAGCCGCGGGCGGGACGGCAACCAUCAUCUGUGAUUUCAUUUCACACAGUGUACGAAAAAGUGGGGAAGCCAAUUGUGGAAGAACCCUUGAGUUUAGCCCAUUUGUCAUUUGCGUGCGUUAAUAGUUUUCCGGAACUCGUUUCAAGUGCUUCCGUCCAAGGAAGUGCGUAAAACCCAGCCAAGAAUCCGCCAAGGAAUCGAAUUCGUAUGAAGCCGCAAUUUUAAUUAUACCUGUGUGCAUGUGUGUGUGUGUGAAUGUGUGAGUGUGCCCAGUUCAUUGCCAGCAGCGCGUUAUUUCCCACGAACAGUGAAUUCGACGGGCGUAAACAAAUGAAAUGAAUCAACAAAUAUGAAAAAACAAAACAGAAAACUCUUUUCGCUGUUCUCUUUGUUUGCUCGCCAGGAAGCCACACACAAUGCCCCGCUUGGAAGCUGCCCCAAGAGCCACUUGUUGAGGUAACUCUGUGUUGGCGCAUAAUUCGAAUAAAUGCGCAAAGCAAAAGGAAGUAAACGCUUCACACGAACCCACAGGCUCCAGUCGCGGUUGCCCAACUCGAAGAUAUCCCUUACUCAACUGCGAGCUCUAUAUAUAUAAUACAAAAUAUACAAUGUGUAAUAUUCAAUCUAAGAUAACUUCUGUGUUUCUUGAUAAAUUGAUAUGAAUACAAUCAAUAGAA